CCCUCACUCCAGAGCAGUUGCUCUUCUUAUCAGUUUCUUCGGCCUCAUCGUGUCUAAGAGCAGUUCCAGUAGCAGUUCCUUUCAGUUUGCCCCCCACUUCCUUCAAACCCAAUUAUCAUAGGCCUUUCUUCUUACAAUGUGAAAAACAGAAAGAGGAGCAGAAAAAUAGAGAACCACGGCUGGGAACAACCACAACGCUCCUUGCCAGCUUCACCAAUUUCCCAGGUUUUCCCCGCUUAAUUUGAUGCAUGCCUUCUUUUUAUCCCUCUUUUACUGUUGUUUUGGUUUCCUCAGAAAAUUUCUCAUUUAAUUGGGUUACUUCCCAGCAUCUCCAAGAAUUAAACACCUAUGAUUUCAACUGAAAGUUUUAGAAGGUGGUAAGCCUAACAGAUCUUUCUUUCUUAUUUGUAUUAUAUUCUUUCUUUGAUUGGGUUUUGAGAUCUUUCACGUUCAGAGAAGGUUUUAGAGGAAAGGUGUUUGUUGAUGAUUUUCCGUAUUUCUCUAUCGUGUAUGUUGAACGGUUCUCAUGGCUUUUGUGUUCAUAUCAGACCCAUGUCCAAAUGAAACGGUAAAUUACAGUGGGUAAGAGAGUUUUGAGAAACUUACUCCUUUUGCUGCAUGCUCACCAUUUAUCGGAUUGAUUUUUAUUUGCUAUAUGAAAUGGUAGGUAUGAAAUUUAAGAUAUGAAUGAAAGUUUGGUUAUUCAACUUAUAUUUGGAUUCUUGAUUAUUCAAGAACAGUUGCUGCAACUCCAAGAAUAGGGUAGGUGUUUACUCGCAUGGUUAAUUCGCAGGGUAGGUGUUUGAUAAAAUGUAUUUGGUUUUGUUCUACGAAUUCAAAUGACAUGGUGGAGUUUUUUUUUUUCUUCACUCUUUUGCAGAGAAUACUUUGAAGAGAAAACAGAGAGAUGUUGCAACAAGUCUCAUAUUUGUUCCUUGGUCGUUCAUUUUAUGAAAUGUUGGUAGCUGAGAACAUCUCUUUUGGCCAUGACUGUGAUAUGAAACCCAAGCCAGGAAGGUGAACGGGGUGAAAGGGUUCUAAGACGAGGAGGACCGCAUGUAUACAGAUUAUGCUAUGAUUUUUUUCCUUCUAUCUUUUUUUUCUCCUGGGAUUCCUUUGGUAGAAGAAUUAAAAGCAAAAUGAGGAUGAUAGAGAUGGAGGGAGUUCAAGGGGAGGAAAACUGCUAAAGGACUUACUGGCUGUGGCUGUGUUUCUUCUCUUUUUAGAGGUUUUCAAGGGGGGUUCAACUUCCCAAAGUGCAGGAGGCUUGCAGAGGAAUUGAAUCAUAUGUUUGGGUUUGGGGUACAAAAUCGUGAUGUCUAACUAAUUCACCAAUCCUCUCAGGGGAUUCAUUUGCUACAGGAAUUAAAAUAGAGUGGGAGGGAGGAAAAGGGGGGAAAGGAGUUAUUGUUCUCUCAUUGUUGUUGUAGAUAGAUCGGCUGCACGUGUGGGUCUUCAACUUCUUUAGGUUUAUCAGCCUUGAAAUUUAGUUAUAUUCAUAAAAAAUUAUGUGUUGUAUUAAAUGUUGUUUGUUUCCUAACAACAAUGGGAUCAAAGAAUUUGUUUGACUACAACAGUUGAAAUGA
Prunus avium (sweet cherry) is the source of this 1586-nucleotide long non-coding RNA. RefSeq lists it as uncharacterized. The record is from RefSeq and is a predicted model, not a curated record. Lineage: Eukaryota; Viridiplantae; Streptophyta; Magnoliopsida; Rosales; Rosaceae.